CCCUUAGAUGUUCUGGGCCGCACGCGCGCUACACUGAUGCAUUCAACGAGUGUACCUUGGCCGAGAGGCCUGGGCAAUCUUUUGAACGUGCAUCGUGAUAGGGAUAGAUUAUUGCAAUUAUUAAUCUUGAACGAGGAAUUCCUAGUAAACGCAGUUCAUCAAACUGCAUUGAUUACGUCCCUGCCCUUUGUACACACCGCCCGUCGCACCUACCGUUUGGAUGGUCCGGUGAAGCCUCGGGAUUGUGGCGGUUGCCUUUAUUGGUGGCCGCCGCGAGAACUUGUCUAAACCUUAUCAUCUAGAGGAAGGUGAAGUCGUAACA
RNAcentral lists this ribosomal RNA (322 nucleotides) under uncultured eukaryote. RNAcentral's name for it is "partial 18S ribosomal RNA". It matches the Rfam family "Eukaryotic small subunit ribosomal RNA", at positions 1470 to 1796 of the family's 1831-position model. The record is from RNAcentral.